UUACGGCCAUGUCACGCUGAAGCACCGGUUCUCGUCAGAUCACCGAAGUUAAGCAACGUCGAGCCUGGUCUGUACGUAGAUGGAUGACCGCUUGGGAAUAUCAGGUUAUGUA
Molecule: non-coding RNA, 112 nt
Organism: Acanthosepion pharaonis
Lineage: Eukaryota; Metazoa; Mollusca; Cephalopoda; Sepiida; Sepiidae
Source: the annotation of a GenBank genome assembly